ACCGUGCCUGUCUCUGACCCUUCCUCGUCGUCCCUGCUCAGCCCUGAGUGCAAUAUUUGUCAUCGCUGUCGAUCAUUACUACUACGUUCGCAAGAUGUCAAUGGAGGACAGUCAAAAACCUGACUGUGAUGCAGCCUCGGAGGGAAACAUCUCCCCAGGGAGUGUGGGCGACAGGG
Long non-coding RNA from Centropristis striata (black sea bass), 176 nucleotides. RefSeq lists it as uncharacterized. The record is from RefSeq and is a predicted model, not a curated record. Lineage: Eukaryota; Metazoa; Chordata; Actinopteri; Perciformes; Serranidae. The transcript is spliced from 3 exons.